This 1463-nucleotide ribosomal RNA is filed under the name metagenome. RNAcentral describes it as "bacterial LSU rRNA". It matches the Rfam family "Bacterial large subunit ribosomal RNA", at positions 1435 to 2925 of the family's 2925-position model. The record is from RNAcentral.
AUUCCUGUACUAUGAUAUGACAGAACUGUGGGGACACGUGCAGAGAGUGGAAGCCGGGAAUGGAAUCCCGGUGCAAGCGGGGUACCAGUCACAUUGGAAAAACCGCGUGGCAAUGGGAAGACGUGAUGCGGAGUGAAAAAUAGUAACGAAGUCCGUGAGCUGUGCGUCAAGAAAAGCCGCUAUUGUUCAUACCAUACCCGUACCGUAAACCGACACAGGUGGAUGAGGAGAGAAUCCUAAGGCCGGCGGAAGAAGCAUUGUCAAGGAACUCGGCAAAAUGACCCCGUAACUUCGGGAGAAGGGGUGCCACUGAAAAGUGGCCGCAGAGAAUAGGCUCAAGCAACUGUUUAGCAAAAACACAGGUCUAUGCGAAACCGUAAGGUGAGGUAUAUGGGCUGACGCCUGCCCGGUGCUGGAAGGUUAAGAGGAGAGGUUAGCGCAAGCGAAGCUUUGAAUUUAAGCCCCAGUAAACGGCGGCCGUACUAUAACGGUCCUAAGGUAGCGAAAUUCCUUGUCGGGUAAGUUCCGACCCGCACGAAAGGCGUAAUGAUUUGAGCGCUGUCUCGACAAUGCAUCCGGUGAAAUUGAAGUACCAGUGAAGAUGCUGGUUACCUGCGCCAGGACGGAAAGACCCCAUGGAGCUUUACUCCAGUUUGGUACUGGGAUCCGGUACUGCAUGUACAGGAUAGGUGGGAGGCUGUGAAAUAGUAACGCCAGUUAUUAUGGAGCCGCUGUUGGGAUACCACCCUUGCAGUAUUGGGUUUCUAACCAGCCGCCGUGACCCGGCGGUGGGACAAUGCCAGACGGGGAGUUUUGACUGGGGCGGUCGCCUCCGAAAGGGUAUCGGAGGCGCCCAAAGGUUCCCUCAGAAUGGACGGAAACCAUUCGAAGAGUGCAAAGGCAGAAGGGAGCUUGACUGCGACACCGACGGGUGGAGCAGGUACGAAAGUAGGGCUUAGUGAUCCGGUGGUAUUAAGUGGGAAUGCCAUCGCUCAACGGAUAAAAGCUACCCUGGAUAACAGGCUUAUCACUCCCAAGAGUUCACAUCGACGGAGUGGUUUGGCACCUCGAUGACGGCUCAUCGCAUCCUGGGGCUGUAGUAGGUCCCAAGGGUUGGGCUGUUCGCCCAUUAAAGCGGUACGCGAGCUGGGUUCAGAACGUCGUGAGACAGUUCGGUCCCUAUCCGGCGUGGGCGUAGGAUAUCUGAGAGGAGCUGUCCUUAGUACGAGAGGACCGGGAUGGACGGGCCGCUGGUGCACCGGUUAGACUGCCAAGUCUAUAGCCGGGUGGCCAAGCCCGGAAGGGAUAAACGCUGAAGGCAUCUAAGCGUGAAGCCCCCCUCAAGAUGAGAUAUCCCAUCCGAAAGGAGUAAACCCCCUUGAAGACGACGAGGUUGAUAGGGCAGGGGUGGAAGUACGGUAACGUAUGGAGCUGACUGCUACUAAUAGGGUGAGGGCUUGACC